This 427-nucleotide ribosomal RNA is filed under the name uncultured bacterium. Its description in RNAcentral is "partial 16S ribosomal RNA". It matches the Rfam family "Bacterial small subunit ribosomal RNA", at positions 355 to 774 of the family's 1533-position model. The record is from RNAcentral.
UGGGGAAUAUUGCACAAUGGGCGCAAGCCUGAUGCAGCCAUGCCGCGUGUAUGAAGAAGGCCUUCGGGUUGUAAAGUACUUUCAGCGGGGAGGAAGGCGAUAAGGUUAAUAACCUUGUCGAUUGACGUUACCCGCAGAAGAAGCACCGGCUAACUCCGGGCCAGCAGCCGCGGUAAUACGGAGGGUGCAAGCGUUAAACGGAAUUACUGGGCGUAAAGCGCACGCAGGCGGUCUGUCAAGUCGGAUGUGAAAUCCCCGGGCUCAACCUGGGAACUGCAUUCGAAACUGGCAGGCUAGAGUCUUGUAGAGGGGGGUAGAAUUCCAGGUGUAGCGGUGAAGUGCGUAGAGAUCUGGAGGAAUACCGGUGGCGAAGGCGGCCCCCUGGACAAAGACUGACGCUCAGGUGCGAAAGCGUGGGGAGCAAACA